RNA transcript from Rattus rattus (black rat), 1804 nucleotides. It is a transcript of the gene named angiopoietin like 8, with no coding region annotated. The record is from RefSeq and is a predicted model, not a curated record. NCBI's taxonomy places the organism in Eukaryota, Metazoa, Chordata, Mammalia, Rodentia, Muridae. The transcript has 3 exons.
UAAAAGGUGGCCACAGCAGCACAGGAGUCACACCCCCGAGACUGUCCACCAUGGUUGUGCCUACUCUCUGCCUCUUAUGGGCCAUAGCAACGGCAGUGCGACCUGCCCCAGUGGCCCCUCUCGGUGGUCCAGAGCCGGCCCAAUAUGAAGAGUUGACCCUGCUCUUUCACGGGGCCCUACAGCUAGGUCAGGCCCUCAAUGGUGUGUACAAAGCCACGGAGGCUCGCCUGACAGAAGCUGGGCGCAACCUGGGCCUCUUUGACCAAGCACUGGAAUUUCUGGGAAGAGAGGUCAAUCAGGGCCGGGAUGCAACACGGGAGCUUCGCACCAGCUUGUCGGAGAUUCAGGCGGAAGAGGACACUUUACACCUUCGAGCAGAAGCCACAGCCCGAUCGCUGAGGGAAGUGGCCCGGGCCCAGCACGCUCUGCGGAACAGUGUACGGAGACUACAAGUGCAGCUGAGAGGUGCCUGGCUGGGCCAAGCCCACCAAGAAUUUGAGAACUUAAAGGUAAGGGGCUCCCAGGGGCACAACCCUGCUCCCCAGAAAGAAGCCACCACUGAACCCUGGGCUAGAGGACCCUCCAGUUGUAUAUGUGGUUCCAGCCUCAGUGACCUUCUGGAAGUGACCUUUGCAAGCAAGGGUAAGAACCAGACAUGGCGGUGCUCGCCUGUGGUUCUAGAACUCCAGAGGCAGGGGCAGGAGAAAGAGAAGGUUAAAGCCAGCCUUGGCUACAAAGUUAGGCCAGCUGCCUACCUGGUGAUAUCCUGUCUCAAAAAGAACAGAAAGAUAACUGGGCACGGGGGCUACACCCGCAACCCCAGCACUUGGGGAUAAAGGGUGGGGUUAGGAGUCCAGGGUGGUUUCUGGCUAGACAGACAUCUGAGUUAGGCUUGGGGUACAUGAGACCCAAUCUCAGAAGAAGUAAAUGAAUGAAUGCAGGAUCAGCAAGGUAGUUCACAGGUACAGGCUGACAAGGCCAAUGGCCUGAGACCGAGCCCCAGGCUCCCUAGGGGGGAAGGCAAGAACCUGCUCCCAACAGUUGUCCUGACUUCCAACAUUUGUGCUAUGGCAUGCACACACGCUAGAUAAACUUUGAAGUAAAGUAAGAGUAGUGACUGUCAUUUCAGAGCAAAGGUGAGUUUCAGAGGCAGAGGGAUGGAUACAGUAAGUGCUCAAUGGAUGCUUAUUGCUCUGGCUUCUGGUGCCAUGAAGUAAGAACCCAAUCAGUAGUGUUUGACAUGCAUCUACAAACUAUACGAAGCAAGUCCUAUCUUAGACACACCUUACAAAUAGGGAAACUGAGGCAGAGGGUCUUGGACGUUUGCUGGGUCACAUGGCAGAGAAACCUGUAGUGGUCAGGAGAUGGGAGUGGACCCAGACUUCCCGGCUAAAGUCGCUAUGCUACCCACAGGAUCGAGCCGAUAAGCAGAACCACCUCUUGUGGGCUCUCACUGGCCACGUGCAGCGACAGCAGCGUGAGAUGGCAGAGCAGCAACAGUGGCUGCGGCAGAUCCAGCAGAGACUCCACAUGGCCGCCCUCCCAGCCUGAGACUACCUGGAUGCCACUGAGGACCAGUUGUGCUGCAGGGAACACUGAAUGCGCUCCACCGGGCCUAUGAGCAGGGCCGACAGAGCUGGCUGCCCAUCAGCUAGACUUGGCCGGUGCACCCCGCUUCCUGGCAGAGCAGAGACAGAAGCAAGCAGGCGGGAUGGAAGGCAGAAGACACCCCCGUGGAGAAGGCUGGAGAAGGACAUGAGCUCCCUUAUGCCCCACACCCCACAAUAAAAAAGAGGCAAUCUAU